RNAcentral lists this transfer RNA (48 nucleotides) under Anathallis welteri. RNAcentral's name for it is "partial tRNA-His". The record is from RNAcentral. Lineage: Eukaryota; Viridiplantae; Streptophyta; Magnoliopsida; Asparagales; Orchidaceae.
GCGGAUGUAGCCAAGUGGAUCAAGGCAGUGGAUUGUGAACACCCCAUG